UCACCUGUUCUAAAACGCUAUCUAACGUUAAUUCUAAAAUUUAGAAAUGCGCUUUGAAGCGUCACCAAAUUAUAUUCUGUGCAUGCUGGGCUAGGGAUGAUUGAGGUUUGAUAUAUUCAAAAUGGCUGAUCGUCGAAGAACGUACGAAGUGAUAAGCGAAGCGCAGAGGAAGAUUCUUUGUGACUUCUUCGAUAAAGGCAUGAAUUCAACAGCUAGUAACAUGCAGAGAACUAUAGUGGAGGCUUCUGAUAAAGCUAACGUAACUGUAGAACGAGUGAAGGUAUUUAUUUUUGUCUUUGAAGUUUAGAUGGCGUGUUAAUUUGCAUAUUGACGCAAGUUUUGAAAUAAACGCGUUAUGAAUAUUGUAUAUCUGUAAAUACGCACUAACUACACUUGCUAUUGUUAGCUACAUCUAUAGCUCUGUGGCAUGAGCAUUGUACAUUUGCACGGGCAUCGCAAUUCGCAAAAACAAAUGGAUUGGAAACGAAAGGCAGAAACGAAAAGCCUCAUCUGCUAUUGGGACAGAUGCACCUGGUGAGACCUCUGGCUUGGCAACAAGAAAGUGUCCUGUAAAGCGUGGGACCACAGCAUACAACCUUUUUUGCUCGAGCAUGCUUACCUCAGGUUAGGUUCAUAAUAAUCUCUCAUUUAAUAAGCCCCCUUUCAAAUAAGCCAAAUUGUACUAUGUUCUCUGAUCAAAUUUAUAAUGGAAUUAUGAAAACUUAUUGAACUUAUCAAUCCCAUCUAUUUCAGGGCCUUUUUGGCUUGUGCUGAGAGGGGAUUUAUAGAGGGGACCUUGUAUCAUAAAGCAUGAAUGAAGAAUAGAGCAUGUCUCAAUUGUGUUGGUGUGUAAGGACAAUGGACUAAAUUGCAGUAUCUUAUAUGGUGCUACAAAUAUUUUAUAUGA
Molecule: unclassified non-coding RNA, 907 nt
Filed under: Dendronephthya gigantea
Lineage: Eukaryota; Metazoa; Cnidaria; Anthozoa; Malacalcyonacea; Nephtheidae
Description: uncharacterized LOC114537299, transcript variant X2
Source: RNAcentral